This 253-nucleotide ribosomal RNA is filed under the name uncultured bacterium. RNAcentral's name for it is "partial 16S ribosomal RNA". It matches the Rfam family "Bacterial small subunit ribosomal RNA", at positions 524 to 776 of the family's 1533-position model. The record is from RNAcentral.
UACGUAUGGUGCAAGCGUUAUCCGGAUUUACUGGGCGUAAAGGGAGCGCAGGCGGUGCGCCAAGUCUGAUGUGAAACCCCGGGGCUCAACCCCGGGCAUGCAUUGGAAACUGGCGGGCUGGAGUGCCGGAGAGGUAAGCGGAAUUCCUAGUGUAGCGGUGAAAUGCGUAGAUAUUAGGAGGAACACCAGUGGCGAAGGCGGCUUACUGGACGGCAACUGACGCUGAGGCUCGAAAGCGUGGGGAGCAAACGGG